ACGCUCGACACCUACGGGAGCAGCAGUGAGGAAUAUUGGUCAAUGGGCGCUAGCCUGAACCAGCCAAGUAGCGUGAAGGAUGAAGGCUCUAUGGGUCGUAAACUUCUUUUAUAUAAGAAUAAAGUGCAGUAUGUAUACUGUUUUGUAUGUAUUAUAUGAAUAAGGAUCGGCUAACUCCGUGCGAGCAGCCGCGGUAAUCUGAGCGGGCUGGCAAGGC
This 217-nucleotide ribosomal RNA is filed under the name uncultured bacterium. RNAcentral describes it as "partial 16S ribosomal RNA". It matches the Rfam family "Bacterial small subunit ribosomal RNA", at positions 328 to 539 of the family's 1533-position model. The record is from RNAcentral.